Tachysurus fulvidraco (yellow catfish) is the source of this 776-nucleotide long non-coding RNA. RefSeq lists it as uncharacterized. The transcript has 2 exons. The record is from RefSeq and is a predicted model, not a curated record. Lineage: Eukaryota; Metazoa; Chordata; Actinopteri; Siluriformes; Bagridae.
GAAGUGUUUGCGUUGCUGUGCGCGCACUGAACUGCGCGUCUGGCAGAGAGGGCGCGCGGAAACGGUGCGAGAGGAGGAGGAGGAGGAGGAGGAGGCGCGUCAGGUGAUCAGAUAAAGAGGGAAUCGUUAUAGAGGUUGGACUGUAGUCUUCCUAUGAAGCCUGCCAGUGACUCAGCUGUUUGGACAGCCAGUGGAAGUUCAUCCAACCGCCUGUAUGCCUUAAGGACAGGUUUCAUGCUUGAUGCCUUUCUUGUACCCCGAGAGAUGGUGGGUCCAGUCGAGUGUUUCAAAGGUUCGAAGGGAAUGUGAUGUCUUAUUCAGACUUCCUAACACCUUAGAUGAAAAUUCACACGUAAAAAAAUAUCCAAAAGAAAAAUUGCAACAAUAAAACAGAUGUGAACAUGACCAGCAGAAACCAUAUAAUGAGAUGCUGAGUUCCUUUCAGACCUCCAGAAAGCAAAGGACAAAUCUGACAUUGUACCAUUUGUAAUAUCUUGGCUGAGAGAGACAUUAUCCUUCCUACUUACAGGAAGAUGGGAAGAUCGUAACAGUAGACAGAGGAGAGAAUUAUGCUUAAUAUUUUCUUAAAGGAUAAGAGAGACUUUAUUUUCACAAAUGGCAGCACGUGAUGUUUAGACUACUGUACCUUACUACUAUUAAUCUUUUAGAAAUUCUAGUAGUGGAAUGAAUUGCAAAAGCAAACAACAAAAAAGUGAUAUGACCUAUACAAAUGUAACUAUAGAACUUAUUCAAUAGAAAUAAAGUAUUGUAUGCAA